CCCUUAGAUGUCCUGGGCUGCACGCGCGCUACACUGAUGUGUCCAGUAAGCACCUAACCUAUUCCGAGAGGAGCGGGUAACCUUAGCAAAGCACAUCGUGAUGGGGAUAGAUUAUUGCAAUUAUUAGUCUUGAACGAGGAAUUCCUAGUAAGCACAAGUCAUCAGCUUGUGUUGAUUACGUCCCUGCCCUUUGUACACACCGCCCGUCGCUCCUACCGAUUGAAUGUUCCGGUGAGCUCUUCGGACUGCGCGGUCUGCAGUUUCUGCGUUCCGUGCGGAAAGUUGUGCAAACCUUAACAUUUAGAAGAAGGAGAAGUCGUAACA
Molecule: ribosomal RNA, 324 nt
Filed under: uncultured eukaryote
Lineage: Eukaryota
Description: partial 18S ribosomal RNA
Rfam family: Eukaryotic small subunit ribosomal RNA
Source: RNAcentral